GUACACUCCUGCGGGAGGCAGCAGUGAGGAAUAUUGGACAAUGGGUGGAAGCCUGAUCCAGCCAUCCCGCGUGCAGGAAGACGGCCCUAUGGGUUGUAAACUGCUUUUAUCUGGGGAUAAACCUACUUACGUGUAAGUAGCUGAAGGUACCAGAAGAAUAAGCACCGGCUAACUCCGUGCCAGCAGCCGCGGUAAUACGGAGGGUGCAAGCGUUAUCCGGAUUUAUUGGGUUUAAAGGGUCCGUAGGCGGACUGAUAAGUCAGUGGUGAAAUCCGACAGCUUAACUGUCGAACUGCCAUUGAUACUGUUAGUCUUGAGUAAGGUUGAAGUGGCUGGAAUAAGUAGUGUAGCGGUGAAAUGCAUAGAUAUUACUUAGAACACCAAUUGCGAAGGCAGGUCACUAAGUCUUAACUGACGCUGAUGGACGAAAGCGUGGGGAGCGAACAGGAUUAGAAACCCCAGUAGUCCCAUGAU
Molecule: ribosomal RNA, 474 nt
Filed under: uncultured organism
Description: partial 16S ribosomal RNA
Rfam family: Bacterial small subunit ribosomal RNA
Source: RNAcentral